Molecule: transfer RNA, 71 nt
Filed under: Taibaiella soli
Lineage: Bacteria; Pseudomonadati; Bacteroidota; Chitinophagia; Chitinophagales; Chitinophagaceae
Rfam family: tRNA
About the family: Transfer RNA (tRNA) molecules are approximately 80 nucleotides in length. Their secondary structure includes four short double-helical elements and three loops (D, anti-codon, and T loops).
Source: Rfam by way of RNAcentral
GGUCGGGUGGCCGAGUGAUCAGGCAGAGCUCUGCAAAAGCUUGUACGGCGGUUUGAAUCCGUCCUCGACCU